Capra hircus (goat) is the source of this 1064-nucleotide long non-coding RNA. RefSeq lists it as uncharacterized. The transcript is spliced from 3 exons. Lineage: Eukaryota; Metazoa; Chordata; Mammalia; Artiodactyla; Bovidae. The record is from RefSeq and is a predicted model, not a curated record.
UUCUUUACCAUGUGAGCUUAUGCUUUAUAAGGCGUUUGAAAUCAGCCUGAAUGUGAGCUCCCGCCUGCGGAGAACCCUGGGUGCUGGAGUGUGAGCUGGAGGGGUCCGAGGCUUGAAGUGACUGAGGAUGGAGGAAGAACUGACACUGUCCGUAUCUACCUGCAUCUUAGCUCCCCUUUAAACUAUUCACUAUAUUUGUGAAAAACUAUACUCGAACAGCUGCGGGAAACCUGGAAAAGGUACUGUCCGUGGAUCAGAAAUGGUGAGGAAUUCCAAAGGGAGAAAAUAGAUGGAAUCAGAUGGAUCAGGAAUCGAAGCCAAGAAGAAAAGCAAGUGUGGACCCCACUUGUAUGGUUCCUGAUUUGCCUAACAGAGGCUUCUACUGGGAACAUGGGGUCCAAGAAAGUGAAGGGUAGAGCCCAGGCCUCUAUGAUGGACACAGGAAGGGGUUAGAGGGCCAGGAAGGAGUGGAAAACACCACAGCACUCACACCACCACAUUGACCACCAGGGGAGAAGCCUUCCCAGGCCAGCCACUUCAGGAACCCUCUGCCGACAGGGACCUCGGGCCCACACCUAGCCAGGCACCCAGGCUGUGCUCCUGUGCUGAUCAAACCAGCCCUUCAUUUGUCAACAUGACCUGACAACUAAGGGUCAGCAUGUGUUUAAGACAAACCAAAAAAAAGAGAGAGAAAGAAAGAUAAGAACAUGGAAUUGACUCUAGAGAAAAAAGAGAGGUGGUUCAGGAAACUGGAGAGAACUGUAAAAUAAUUUCAGUGAAUAAUCUUGAGUGGUUUCAUAGGGUUUUACCCCCAUAAGGUGGAAACAUAGUGUAAAAAAAAAAGCAAACAGAAAAUGAAAAAGUAUUCUUCCAUUAACAAAAAAUCUCAAAAUGAGGUGGGAGGAGGUAGGGAGGUGACGUGUAUACCUAUGGCUGAUUCAUGUUGAUGUAUGGCAGAAACCACCACAACGCUGGAAAGCAACUAUCCUCCAAUUAAAAAUGAAUAAAUCUGUAAAAAUCUCAAAACGAAACACUAGAUGUACAGGCUGAAGCAUCAAGAGCAC